RNAcentral lists this ribosomal RNA (427 nucleotides) under uncultured bacterium. Its description in RNAcentral is "bacterial SSU rRNA". It matches the Rfam family "Bacterial small subunit ribosomal RNA", at positions 355 to 774 of the family's 1533-position model. The record is from RNAcentral.
UGGGGAAUUUUGGACAAUGGGCGCAAGCCUGAUCCAGCCAUGCCGCGUGCAGGAUGAAGGCCCUCGGGUUGUAAACUGCUUUUGUACGGAACGAAAAGCCUCUUUCUAAUAAAGAGGGGUGAUGACGGUACCGUAAGAAUAAGCACCGGCUAACUACGUGCCAGCAGCCGCGGUAAUACGUAGGGUGCGAGCGUUAAUCGGAAUUACUGGGCGUAAAGCGUGCGCAGGCGGUCUUGCAAGACAGUGGUGAAAUCCCCGGGCUCAACCUGGGAACUGCCAUUGUGACUGCAAGGCUGGAGUACGGCAGAGGGGGAUGGAAUUCCGCGUGUAGCAGUGAAAUGCGUAGAUAUGCGGAGGAACACCGAUGGCGAAGGCAGUCCCCUGGGCCUGUACUGACGCUCAUGCACGAAAGCGUGGGGAGCAAACA